ACAUGUCAUUUCUGCUCGUGAGA
RNAcentral lists this small nuclear RNA (23 nucleotides) under Arabidopsis thaliana (thale cress). Its description in RNAcentral is "snRNA_09306". The record is from RNAcentral. Lineage: Eukaryota; Viridiplantae; Streptophyta; Magnoliopsida; Brassicales; Brassicaceae.